CAGUCGCCGCGGUAAUACGAAGGGGGCUAGCGUUGCUCGGAAUGACUGGGCGUAAAGGGCGCGUAGGCGUCGAUCAAAGUCAGGCGUGAAAUUCCUGGGCUCAACCUGGGGGCUGCGCUUGAUACUUGGUUGCUUGAGUGGGGAAGAGGGUCGUGGAAUUCCCAGUGUAGAGGUGAAAUUCGUAGAUAUUGGGAAGAACACCGGUGGCGAAGGCGGCGACCUGGUCCUUGACUGACGCUGAGGCGCGAAAGCGUGGGGAGCAAACAGGAUUAGAUACCCCGGUAGUCCCUGUCUCUUAUAA
Molecule: ribosomal RNA, 301 nt
Filed under: uncultured bacterium
Lineage: Bacteria
Description: partial 16S ribosomal RNA
Rfam family: Bacterial small subunit ribosomal RNA
Source: RNAcentral